This 75-nucleotide transfer RNA is filed under the name Alphaproteobacteria bacterium. Its description in RNAcentral is "tRNA-Asn". It matches the Rfam family "tRNA". From Rfam's summary of the family: Transfer RNA (tRNA) molecules are approximately 80 nucleotides in length. RNAcentral also lists the same sequence under 4 other names. The record is from RNAcentral. Lineage: Bacteria; Pseudomonadati; Pseudomonadota; Alphaproteobacteria.
UCCCGAGUAGCUCAGCGGUAGAGCAGCUGACUGUUAAUCAGCGGGUCGUAGGUUCGAAUCCUGCCUCGGGAGCCA